CGAACGCUGGCGGCGUGGAUUAGGCAUGCAAGUCGGACGAGAAAGGGAGCUUCGGUUCCCUGAGUAGAGUGGCAAACGGGUGAGUAACGCGUGAAGAACCUGCCCGGAAGUGGGGGAUAACAUCUCUAACGGGGUGCUAAUACCGCAUGUGUUCGCGAGAUCGCAUGGUCCUGCGUACAAAGGUGGCCUCUACAUGUAAGCUACCGCUUCCGGAUGGCUUUGCGUCCCAUUAGCUUGUUGGUGGGGUUACAGCCUACCAAGGCGACGAUGGGUAGCUGGUCUGAGAGGAUGGUCAGCCACACUGGGACUGAGAUACGGCCCAGACUCCUACGGGAGGCAGCAGUCGAGAGGCUUCCGCAAUGGGGGAAACCCUGACGGAGCGACGCCGCGUGCGGGAUGACGGCUUUCGGGUUGUAAACCGCUUUCAGGUGGGAAGAAAAGUCAUUGGGUGAAUAAUCCAAUGGCCAUGACGGUACCACCAGAAGAAGCUCCGGCUAACUCCGUG
Molecule: ribosomal RNA, 505 nt
Filed under: uncultured bacterium
Lineage: Bacteria
Description: bacterial SSU rRNA
Rfam family: Bacterial small subunit ribosomal RNA
Source: RNAcentral